GGGUAAGUAUUGUAAUGGUUUAGCAUUAUUGACUGUGACUCAAUAGGUCCGUGUUCGAUUCACGGCUUGCCCA
Molecule: non-coding RNA, 73 nt
Organism: Tritrichomonas musculus
Lineage: Eukaryota; Parabasalia; Tritrichomonadida; Tritrichomonadidae
Source: the annotation of a GenBank genome assembly